UGCGCAGGCGGGCUUGUAAGUCAGUGGUGAAAUACUGCCGCUUAACGGUAGAACUGCCAUUGAUACUGCGGGUCUUGAAUAUGGUUGAGGUAGGCGGAAUGUGUUGUGUAGCGGUGAAAUGCAUAGAUAUGACACAGAACGCCGAUUGCGAAGGCAGCUUACUAAGCCAUUAUUGACGCUGAGGCACGAAAGCGUGGGGAGCGAACAGGAUUAGAUACCCUGGUAGUCC
This 229-nucleotide ribosomal RNA is filed under the name uncultured bacterium. RNAcentral describes it as "partial 16S ribosomal RNA". It matches the Rfam family "Bacterial small subunit ribosomal RNA", at positions 568 to 796 of the family's 1533-position model. The record is from RNAcentral.